This 75-nucleotide transfer RNA is filed under the name Acidobacteriota bacterium. Its description in RNAcentral is "Acidobacteria bacterium (soil metagenome) tRNA-Ile". It matches the Rfam family "tRNA". Rfam says of the family: Transfer RNA (tRNA) molecules are approximately 80 nucleotides in length. Their secondary structure includes four short double-helical elements and three loops (D, anti-codon, and T loops). Lineage: Bacteria; Pseudomonadati; Acidobacteriota. The record is from RNAcentral.
UGCGGAGUAGCUCAGGCGGUCGAGAGCAGUGGUCUCAUAAACCACAGGUCGCGGGUUCGAGUCCCGCCUCCGCAA